GGCGUCGCAGACUCGCAGUUUCAUCUGGACGUGUCGUUUGGACGUGUUGACGGAUUUAAAGCCGCAAGUGGCAGCCGGAGGAACUACGGCUAGAAGAUUACGUGACUUCGCUCGGCUCUAAGCUGCAGCCUAACGCCCGCUAAUGUCAGCAGAGAGAGGGAGAGGAAGUGUCCUCCGAGACAGCACACGGGAACCCACACGGCACUCCGAAGGACGUCACUAGGAGGGGGACCAGGUGUGACCCUGAAGACUGGGAGUGCCACCCUGACCAGGCUGAAGCUGACAUGAUUAGCA
Ixodes scapularis (black-legged tick) is the source of this 294-nucleotide long non-coding RNA. RefSeq lists it as uncharacterized. The transcript is spliced from 3 exons. The record is from RefSeq and is a predicted model, not a curated record. NCBI's taxonomy places the organism in Eukaryota, Metazoa, Arthropoda, Arachnida, Ixodida, Ixodidae.